AGUCAUCGACAACAGGUUGCCCAGCUGGUCUAACACUGGCAAGCACCUCUGGACCUUUUUUCAUGCCAAAUAAAAGUUUUCCAACAAGUUUUAUGCUCUCGUCUAUAUGCAUUCUGUGAGACAUUGCUUCCAGAACUUGCUUCUGAGCUGCAACUUUCCUAGGAGAACCCUGAGGAGCUUUGCGGAACUGACAAAGAUCAACGAAAAUUAAGUCAAAAUACACAAUAUAAUAAGCAAAAAUUAAGUCCGACUGAAAAAGUAUCUGCAGAUAACAACCCUUAUUUCCUUCAAAUUUUAUCAUCAGUACAUUAAUGCCUAUUGUUAACAUUUCAUAAAAAAUUCUGUAAAAAAAUAAAAAUUUCAAGAAAUAAAAAGCCACUACACUCAAUCAUCAGACCGGAAUUCGCACAACAUUUCCAGAUUUAUUUGAUUUAUAAUAUUACUAUUUUUGCAGAUUUCUUUUAGGAACCCAAAUAUCGGAUUCCAAAGAAAGAACACUUUUUAUUUUAAAAAUAGGAAAUAACAAGAGAGCAAGCUCUCCUACACUGGUUAUAAAACCAAACAAAACUAGUAGUCUGCAUAAGAUUCUUUCUAAGGGAUUGGAAGUCUAUAUUUAUAGACUUCCUACAUACAAGGAUAGGGAAAGGGAUCAAUAGCAACUAUAAAGCAGGAAACAAACUGAUAGACAACUAACAAACAAAACCCAACUAAGUAAGAUAAGGGAGAACAGACUUCCUAACUAAUUCUCCCUAUUCUAACUCGUAACAAUUUCAUAACUAGCUAAUAAGUUCAGCGGUAACCAAAAAUAUCUGAUUAGUGGAAUUCAGUACGUCUGAUUUUUAUGGAACAUUUGGUAAAAGGAAGGGCGAUUCCAUGCAAAACAGUGAAAUGGAAUAAUAAUGUCCAGUCUAAAACUUGGCAGUUUCAAUAAUGGGGUGGCAAUAUGGCAUUCAAUUAUUUGGUACAUGGAAUGAAUACAGAAUGGAGCUAAGGGGAAUUGUAACACACUGGCCACCCUCUUGUGCUACCAAUCUGCCACUCAUAGAAAUUUCUCUCCAUGACCUGUGGCUUAAGUACAAGGAAGCAUCUUUGUGCUUUACCACUUGAGCUCAUGCUUUUGCAAUUACCCAUGUUUCAGUGUUUUGUGAAAUCACUUACUGGGUACUUCUAGCAUGUUAAAUAAGUAAACUACGGUAACAGAGUCAAAUAAUAAAUAUCUCCUUACUAUGCAUAUACCGCGUCAUAUUUCUUGAUUUGGGAGGUAAAACAUGAAGAGGACACGAUUAAGCAUUUAUUUCGUAAAAUAUAGCACUACUACAUCCCACAAAUAGGAUACCUUAUCCCAGAAAUGGAUGAGAUCUGCAUCACGCUGGUUAACCGUUUUUGAAGGUGGCACUAAUGAGUUUCUACCCAUAAAAGUGAAAUUUUCAUUAGCAGGAUUUGAUCCCAAAUAUAGGAAUAGACUAUCCCUGCUUAGCCCUAUGUCACCAAAUUGCAUCACGUGCGAACCAUAUAUUGAAUUUCCGUUUGAAGUCCUUUCUUUGACCUGUGAGAAUAAGAGCAAUAAGACAUAUGCCACACAAUUCAAAAACACCUUAUACCUUGUUUGACCCGUAUAAUUUUAGACCGAAAAUUUUAUGAAAAUAAUUAAAAUUUUCUCCCAUCUAGUUAAACAUCCAAGGAAUAAAAUUACAUUUUUCAUUUUAUACCAGUUGAUGAUCAUGUAAAACAACAGAGCUAGCAACAGAAUCUUACCAAUUCAUAUUGCUGGUGCAAAGUUUCUGUUUGCAAAUUGUGUAUGUCACUGUUCAAAAGUUCAUGCGUAAAACAAUCAGUAAAUAAAAACCUUACACCAUUACUCAUACAAAAGUAUCUUUCUUCGAACAAAUAAAAAAAAGAUGUUAAGUGCAAAAAACAAAAUACAAGAUAAUAGGUCACAACUGGAUUUACAUCGUGACUGGCACAUAGACUACCCUCUAGUCUGGCAAGUCUUCCCUAAGGACUGUUCCCCAUCAAGAACCAAUAUGAUAUUAAUCAUAAAACCUAGAUAUAUAACAUGAUUUUUGUUUGAAAUCUUAGCAAAGUUUCCCUUGGAAUAAGAGCAUCCUAAAAUUUUAAGAAGACUAAGAUGAUAGAGAUAUGAAUCUAAUCAAUAUCGAGCUUAUAUAGGCCAACCAAUUAAUUUCUAAUCCACCAAGAGGUAAAAUUGAGAGUUUUGUGAUUGUGAUAAUAAACCCGGGCACUUUCACAAUCAAGACCCUAUUAAUGACCCUUCUAGUUCUAGGGUGUUCAAAUCUAGGCUUAAGUCUCUGAUGAGUCAAUAAUUAGUCGUUUUAGUAUAAUAUUUAGUUUCAUUUUAAUUAGAUUUAAGUUUAUUUUAUUUUAAUAUUAUUUCCUUUUAGAGCUAUUUUACUUCAAUUGCAUAUUAUUAUAUUUCAGGAAUGAAUAUAUUUGAUGGAUUGAGUCUUUGAGCAAAAGAAAGGGGUUUGGAGCUGAUUCGGAGCAAAAAUACGAAGAUUUGGAGACAAAAAUAUGUCUCCCCCAAGUCAGAAGCUUGACACGGCCCGUGCUCUCACUGGCACAUUCUAGUUAUGUAAUUGCUUAGAUUUUAAGUUUUAAGUCGAAUGUAAACUAUAAAUAGAGUAGCUAGCCAUCACAAAUAUUCAUCUUUUGUUCUUGGAAUAAAAGUUCAUCUAUAUUUUAUUGUUAUUUCCUUAUGUACUUCUUCUUCUCUUCUAUGUUUACAACGAACGUUAGUGAGUAGACUCUUCUCUUGUCUUGGGAUUGUUGGAUAAGUCUAAUGAUAUAAUCCUAAUCAAACCAAGCUUUAACCAUAAUCUUAUGUAACCCUAGUUUCUAAUCUAAAUUCACCGUUUUAACAUGAAUUAAUCAUUAUCAAACUGUAGAAGCGAAAGUGGAGGGUUUGAUAAUUGUUAAUCCAUAAUGUCAAAUAUCAAUUCAUAAAACGAGAGUGGAGUCUUGAUAUUCGAACAAGUGAAUUUAGACAAGGAUUACAAAGCCAGGUCUUUGCAAUCCUUGAAACAUUAGUAGUUUCAAACCUUAAAAGCUUCUUCUAGUAAUCAAAUCAGCGAAAUAGGUUUGAUUGCUAACAGAAAACUCUCACUAGACUGAAAGAAAACCGGUCUUUAGAAAUUAGGUCUAACAUAAGGUUCUAGGUUUAAGGUUUUGGUUUGUGAAGGAUUUAUCAUUAUGAUGAACCAAUAAUCCCAAGGCUCCUAUUAUUAUUAUUAUUAUUAU
This 3258-nucleotide long non-coding RNA is filed under the name Medicago truncatula (barrel medic). RNAcentral describes it as "long non-coding RNA (MTRU_LNC001183)". The record is from RNAcentral. Lineage: Eukaryota; Viridiplantae; Streptophyta; Magnoliopsida; Fabales; Fabaceae.